UACUCACAAUGGUCAACAGUGUUCCUGGU
Molecule: small RNA, 29 nt
Filed under: Bombyx mori (domestic silkworm)
Lineage: Eukaryota; Metazoa; Arthropoda; Insecta; Lepidoptera; Bombycidae
Description: piRNA piR-bmo-1327495
Source: RNAcentral